GUGUCCUACGGGAGGCAGCAGUGGGGGAUAUUGCACAAUGGGGGGAACCCUGAUGCAGCGACGCCGCGUGGGUGAAGGAGCGUUUCGGCGCGUAAAGCCCUCUCGGCAGGGAAGAAAAUGACGGUACCUGACUAAGAAGCCCCGGCUAACUACGUGCCAGCAGCCGCGGUAAUACGUAGGGGGCAAGCGUUAUCCGGAUUUACUGGGUGUAAAGGGAGCGUAGACGGCGGCGCAAGUCCGGAGUGAAAGCCCAAGGCCCAACCGUGGGACUGCUCUGGAAACU
RNAcentral lists this ribosomal RNA (283 nucleotides) under uncultured bacterium. RNAcentral describes it as "partial 16S ribosomal RNA". It matches the Rfam family "Bacterial small subunit ribosomal RNA", at positions 334 to 634 of the family's 1533-position model. The record is from RNAcentral.